GGGCUUCGGGGAUUCGCGGCCUCACAAAGAUCACGUAGGGCUUGAACUCCGCCGUCCGCAGCGUCUUCAACGCCUGAGAAAGACGGACAGAACCCCUUACUAUCUUGGUCAAUGUAGGUCAAACCAUUAAUACAUUUGCCUCGGCAACACACUGCCUUUUUCUCCAUUUUGUGUUUCUAUGACAUGCUUUGUUUCCUUAGAAAGUCCACUCCCCUAGCUUAGGUUGGGCUUACCACUGCAGUAAGGACAACAGAAACCAUACCCACCUUCCAAUCCAGACUAAAAAAAGUACCUUUUCAGAUUCUAUCAUGGCUCCCCUUUACAUAUCUUGUGUUCUUCUCUUUCUUUGAAUUACGUUUUGGAUAAUGAUAAUGGCCAUGUAAAGGGUUUGUGUCUAGUUGUACCUUCUUUUGUUGCAAUUGAUAGUAAAGUGAUUGUACUUUA
This is a long non-coding RNA of Anguilla rostrata (American eel), 444 nucleotides long. RefSeq lists it as uncharacterized. The record is from RefSeq and is a predicted model, not a curated record. The transcript is spliced from 2 exons. NCBI's taxonomy places the organism in Eukaryota, Metazoa, Chordata, Actinopteri, Anguilliformes, Anguillidae.